RNAcentral lists this ribosomal RNA (469 nucleotides) under uncultured bacterium. Its description in RNAcentral is "partial 16S ribosomal RNA". It matches the Rfam family "Bacterial small subunit ribosomal RNA", at positions 28 to 507 of the family's 1533-position model. The record is from RNAcentral.
GACGAACGCUGGCGGCGUGCUUAACACAUGCAAGUCGAACGGUGAAGCGAGUGCUUGCACUCGUGGAUCAGUGGCGAACGGGUGAGUAACACGUGAGUAACCUGCCCAUCACUCUGGGAUAAGCACUGGAAACGGUGUCUAAUACUGGAUACGACCAACCCUUGCAUGGGGUGUUGGUGGAAAGAUUGAUCGGUGAUGGAUGGACUCGCGGCCUAUCAGCUUGUUGGCGGGGUAAUGGCCCACCAAGGCGACGACGGGUAGCCGGCCUGAGAGGGUGACCGGCCACACUGGGACUGAGACACGGCCCAGACUCCUACGGGAGGCAGCAGUGGGGAAUAUUGCACAAUGGGCGAAAGCCUGAUGCAGCGACGCCGCGUGAGGGAUGACGGCCUUCGGGUUGUAAACCUCUUUCAGCAGGGAAGAAGCGAAAGUGACGGUACCUGCAGAAGAAGCACCGGCUAACUACGUG